This is a long non-coding RNA of Diceros bicornis minor, 767 nucleotides long. RefSeq lists it as uncharacterized. The transcript is spliced from 4 exons. Lineage: Eukaryota; Metazoa; Chordata; Mammalia; Perissodactyla; Rhinocerotidae. The record is from RefSeq and is a predicted model, not a curated record.
ACAGCUGUGCCCUCAGCGUCCUUCCUUCCUAGAUCAUGUAACGUGCUUCUCAGGACAGGAGGAGCCACCUCAAGGGAAGGCAGAUUUUCUCCAGGAGCUGAUGGUCAUCCAGGGAGAGCAGAGUCAAGGACUGCAGAGAGCCAGCCCGCUUCCGCUCUCCCUCUCAGGGACACCUUGGACCCCACACCCCCACCCCCCUCCCGGUGCCCCCCAGAGGUUCCCAUUGUAGCCUUGGAGGCCGCGCAUGCGCAGGACUGGCUCUCAGAGCGGCAGAGGGGAUGGCGAGCUGGAGAGCCCCGGGGAACGUGCACUGGAGGCGGGGUCCCUGGUGCGGAGGUGGCCUCCUCGGAGGUUUGUGUGGGGGGAUGGGCGGUUUCUGGAUCCUUCCUCCAGGAUUUUCAGCGCUGGGGAGCUCUCCUUUCUGCAGUGUGGCGGAGCGCUGGGCAGGAGGCGGCGCUGAGUUUGGUGGCAGCAGUGGGAUCCAAAGGAGACGCCUGAUGGCUUCGAGGAUGAGAAACAGUCAUUGGUACCAGCAAAACCUUUGAGUUCUCCAUCUUUUUCACUGUUUCUGAGGGCUGUGGCGUCAGCUGCAGAGCUCCAGCCAGCGGCAGAAGAAGAGCAGUGGGCAGUGGUGGAGGUAGAGCUGGCUCCAGCUCCGUUGACACCACCCCCUCUAGCACUGGAGCCAGUGUCCCCUCCACCAGCAGUGUUGGAGGUGGAGCAAGGGCCAACAUGGGCUCCAGCAGGAGUAGGAGCUGCUUAGCUAG